AUUGAACGCUAGCGGGAUGCUUUACACAUGCAAGUCGAACGAGUGGCGGGCGGGUGGGUAAUAUAUCGGAACGUGCCCAGUAGCGGGGGAUAACUACUCGAAAAGUGGCUAAUAACGCAUACUAUUGGCGCGGCCGAUAUCGGAUUGGCUAGUUGGUGGGGUAACGGCUCACCAAGGAAACGAUCCGUGGCUGGUUGGAGAGGCCGACCACCCCCACGGGGGCUGCGACACGCCCCAGACUCCUACGGGAGGCAGCAGUGGGGAAUUUUGGACAAUGGUGGAAACCCUGGUCCAGCCAUCCCGCGUGUAUUAUGAAGGCGUUCGGUGUGUAAAGUACUUUUGGCAGAGAAGCGGUAUCUGCAGAAUAAGCACCGGCUAACUACGUGCCAGCAGCCGCGGUAAUUC
This 405-nucleotide ribosomal RNA is filed under the name uncultured bacterium. RNAcentral describes it as "partial 16S ribosomal RNA". It matches the Rfam family "Bacterial small subunit ribosomal RNA", at positions 30 to 526 of the family's 1533-position model. The record is from RNAcentral.